CGGGGCGUAGCGCAGUUGGUAGCGCGCCUGGUUUGGGACCAGGAGGUCGGGAGUUCGAAUCUCCCCGCCCCGA
This 73-nucleotide transfer RNA is filed under the name Planctomycetaceae bacterium. RNAcentral's name for it is "tRNA-Pro". It matches the Rfam family "tRNA". Rfam says of the family: Transfer RNA (tRNA) molecules are approximately 80 nucleotides in length. Lineage: Bacteria; Pseudomonadati; Planctomycetota; Planctomycetia; Planctomycetales; Planctomycetaceae. RNAcentral also lists the same sequence under 3 other names. The record is from RNAcentral.